This is a small nuclear RNA of Cricetulus griseus (Chinese hamster), 64 nucleotides long. NCBI's taxonomy places the organism in Eukaryota, Metazoa, Chordata, Mammalia, Rodentia, Cricetidae. The record is from Ensembl.
GUGCUUCUGAAUGGCAGCACAUAUACUAAAAUUGGAAUGAUACAGAAAAGAUUAGCAAGACCCC